Molecule: non-coding RNA, 26 nt
Filed under: Homo sapiens (human)
Lineage: Eukaryota; Metazoa; Chordata; Mammalia; Primates; Hominidae
Source: RNAcentral
UGACAAAGGAAAGAGAGAGUGCCACA